GUGCCAGCCGCCGCGGUAAUACGUAGGGUGCGAGCGUUAAUCGGAAUUACUGGGCGUAAAGCGUGCGCAGGCGGUUUUGUAAGUCAGAUGUGAAAGCCCCGGGCUCAACCUGGGAAUGGCGUUUGAAACUGCAAGGCUAGAGUGUGUCAGAGGGGGGUAGAAUUCCACGUGUAGCAGUGAAAUGCGUAGAGAUGUGGAGGAAUACCGAUGGCGAAGGCAGCCCCCUGGGAUAACACUGACGCUCAUGCACGAAAGCGUGGGGAGCAAACAGGAUUAGAAACCCCUGUAGUCC
This 292-nucleotide ribosomal RNA is filed under the name uncultured bacterium. RNAcentral describes it as "partial 16S ribosomal RNA". It matches the Rfam family "Bacterial small subunit ribosomal RNA", at positions 505 to 796 of the family's 1533-position model. The record is from RNAcentral.